RNAcentral lists this ribosomal RNA (253 nucleotides) under uncultured bacterium. RNAcentral's name for it is "partial 16S ribosomal RNA". It matches the Rfam family "Bacterial small subunit ribosomal RNA", at positions 524 to 776 of the family's 1533-position model. The record is from RNAcentral.
UGCGUAGGGCGCGAGCGUUGUCCGGAAUUAUUGGGCGUAAAGAGCUCGUAGGCGGCCUGUUGCGUCUGCUGUGAAAUCCCGGGGCUUAACCCCGGGCGUGCAGUGGAUACGGGCAGGCUGGAGGCAGGCAGGGGAGAAUGGAAUUCCCGGUGUAGCGGUGAAAUGCGCAGAUAUCGGGAGGAACACCGGUGGCGAAGGCGGUUCUCUGGGCCUGUUCUGACGCUGAGGAGCGAAAGCGUGGGGAGCGAACAGG